RNAcentral lists this ribosomal RNA (651 nucleotides) under Triticum aestivum (bread wheat). RNAcentral describes it as "partial small subunit ribosomal RNA". Lineage: Eukaryota; Viridiplantae; Streptophyta; Magnoliopsida; Poales; Poaceae. The record is from RNAcentral.
AUGGCCAGCUUAGCGCUGCCGUCCACCUUUCCAAUGAUCGAUCUAGCGCCGCCGUCCACCUUCCCAAUGGCCGAUCUAGCGCCGCCGUCCACUUACCCCAUAGAAGCCGCAACACCCACACCCAUCAUCUCCACGGACGCCGCAACGCCUCCUUCCACCUCCAUCGUAGCCGCACCAACGCCGCCGUCCACCUCUCCCACAGCCGCACCAGCGCCACGGUCCACCUCCCCCACGACUGCACCAGCGCCGCCUUCCAAUUCCCCCACUGCCGGACCAGAUCAACCAUUUAUCUCCGCCAUGUCUGCCCCUGCGGCGCCGCCGUCAACCACCACCAUGGCCAUCACCAGCGAUUCACGCAAGAAGCGACCUCCCUGCAAGAAGAAGAAGAAGAAGAAUGAUGCUGUCCAAGAAGAACCUGCCAUGGCUAUUGCGCCGCCAUCCAUCAUCUCCGUGGACGCCGCAGCGCCGCCUUCCACCUCCAACGUCGCCGCACCAACGCAGCCGUCCACUUUCCCCCAUAGCUGCACCAGCGCCGCUGUCCAACUCCUCCAUGGCCAGACUAGCGCAGUUGUCCAAGUCCACCACAUCGGGACCGGCGCAGCCCUCCAACUCCCCCACCGGCGAGGCUCGCAAGAAGCGACCUGGGCAUGA